The sequence is a ribosomal RNA, 351 nucleotides long. The stretch from base 1 to 105 matches the Rfam family "5.8S ribosomal RNA", at positions 50 to 154 of the family's 154-position model.
GAAAUGCGAUAAGUAAUGUGAAUUGCAGAAUUCAGUGAAUCAUCGAAUCUUUGAACGCACCUUGCGCUCCUUGGUAUUCCGAGGAGCAUGCCUGUUUGAGUGUCAUGAAAUUCUCAACCUACAAGCCUUUGCGGGUUUGUACGUGUUGGACUUGGAGGAUUAUAAUUGUCGGCGCAAGUCGGCUCCUCUUAAAUGCAUUAGCUUGAUUCCUUGCGGAUCGGCUCUCGGUGUGAUAAUUGUCUACGCCGUGACCGUUGAAGCGUUUUGGCGAGCUUAUAAUCGUCUCUGUUAACGAGACAGCUUACUUUGACAUCUGACCUCAAAUCAGGUAGGACUACCCGCUGAACUUAA